Molecule: ribosomal RNA, 465 nt
Filed under: uncultured bacterium
Lineage: Bacteria
Description: partial 16S ribosomal RNA
Rfam family: Bacterial small subunit ribosomal RNA
Source: RNAcentral
CCUACGGGUGGCAGCAGUAGGGAAUCUUCCACAAUGGGCGAAAGCCUGAUGGAGCAACGCCGCGUGGGUGAAGAAGGUCUUCGGAUCGUAAAACCCUGUUGUUAGAGAAGAAAGUGCGUGAGAGUAACUGUUCACGUUUCGACGGUAUCUAACCAGAAAGCCACGGCUAACUACGUGCCAGCAGCCGCGGUAAUACGUAGGUGGCAAGCGUUAUCCGGAUUUAUUGGGUGUAAAGGGAACGCGGGCGGUCUUUUAAGUCUGAUGGGAAAGCCUUCGGCUUAACCGGAGUAGUGCAUUGGAAACUGGGAGACUUGAGUGCAGAAGAGGAGAGUGGAACUCCAUGUGUAGCGGUGAAAUGCGUAGAUAUAUGGAAGAACACCAGUGGCGAAAGCGGCUCUCUGGUCUGUAACUGACGCUGAGGUUCGAAAGCGUGGGUAGCAAACAGGAUUAGAUACCCGAGUAGUC